CGUUGCCAUCUUGGUCGGUGGUCCAAAUGAUUAGCCAAGCAAGGGAAGUUUGCAACCUAAGCCCUCGUUCUUAGUCGGUUUUGCGAGUGUACAAUUAUGUUAACUAAGGGGCCAGAAACUCCCCAUAAUCCGCUAAUGAAAGUCCAUAAUUUAAAAACAUCACUGCAGAAGUCAACAUACAAAUUUCCCAGUUAUGACCAUCUUGUCUUUUUGGAGACUGAUUUGAAUCAGCAACUGCCAAGUUUGUGCAGGUCACUCAAGCAGCAUGAGGUCACUCUUCCAUCCAAGUACACUAGACAGGCGCUUGUUGCAGCCAGUGGAUGAGCUUUGCCUCUUCCUGACACUGGAUCUCAGAGACCUGGGCCAACACUUUCUCAUCCAUCCCUCUGCAGUCAGUAGGAUCAUCAUCACCUGGGCCAACUUCCUAUACACACUGCUUGGAGCAGUGACCAUCUGUAUGACACAAGAGGAAAUGAAGGCCAAUCUACCGGAGGAAUUUAAAAGCUACCCAGACACGCAGGUCAUUGUUGACUGCUCCGAGCUUAGGUGUCAGAAAUCGUCCUUUCUUCUGCUGUAGAGUGAGAUGUUCUACAACUACAAAUCCCACUGCACAAUUAGGGCAUUAUUGGGAAUAGCUCCUCAUGGACCGAUCACGGUUGUGUCCUCACUGUAUGCAGGCUCCAUCCUCAUCGAUGACCUUGGGUGAUUCGGAGGGGGAAGAACAAGUUCUAAGAACAAGGAGAUUACACCGGACACAGCGAUCCUAGAUGUCUCAGGAACUUCUCACAAUUCAACUUUGAACUGGCUCAUACUGCUGUUACCACACUGUGUACCGGACAGAGAUCAAAAGAAAAGGUAUCAGUUUCAUAUUAACCAACGUUUGUAAGCACGCAUGUAUACAUAAUUGAGGAUGCCUGUAUAAACGCAAGACUGAUGAGACUUUGUACUAGCCUUUUGCAUUAUGAUGUGACUGCGUGUAGGCCUACCCCAAGUACUCUAUAUUAAAGCUGACGCUUCAACUGCU
Long non-coding RNA from Salmo salar (Atlantic salmon), 1024 nucleotides. RefSeq lists it as uncharacterized. NCBI's taxonomy places the organism in Eukaryota, Metazoa, Chordata, Actinopteri, Salmoniformes, Salmonidae. The record is from RefSeq and is a predicted model, not a curated record.